Molecule: long non-coding RNA, 1095 nt
Organism: Planococcus citri (citrus mealybug)
Lineage: Eukaryota; Metazoa; Arthropoda; Insecta; Hemiptera; Pseudococcidae
Exons: 2
Source: RefSeq, a predicted model, not a curated record
UAAAUGUUCAAAUGAAUCAGUCAUGGGUUGACGCUAUCACUACUACAAUUAAGGCACAAAGUUGAAUUAUUAUUGUAAACUUUAAUGCACAAUGUACAUUAGAAAUGUAAGAGAUUUAUAAAAAUUAGGUCAUUAUUGUUCAUUUUCGAACCAAGUAGGUACAUCAAAGCAAUUCCAUAAACGCAAACUAAACGCGACUUCCUCAUAUCAAUAUUUGUAGGUAGGUACUCUAAAUCACAAGGUCGAACACGUAAUACGAAGUGCUUUACUCGAAUUUGGACAGAUUAACGGUGACUGAAACUAUUAUAUAGCUUUUAGUGAUUAUAUAAAUAUAAUGAAAAAGCUGGCUGAUUUACCAAUUUGUAUUUCGUUACUCGAAAGUAAGUACUCGUAAGUGCACACUCAACUGGUGCUGGUGCUGAUCAUUCUUAAUUUCAAAAUUAUCUUGGCUAAACACUCCACACCGUCAUGUUCAAUCGGAUUUCUCCAACUUUUGCCUUAACUUUAUACGCCAUUACGUCGAUUUUGGGCGCUCAUAUCUCAGAUUCAAAUUCAGCUUGCGGAGAAUUCUGCCAAAAUAAUAACAAUUAUUCGAAUGAUACAAUCGAUGAAAUUUGCAACGCCCUAUGUGACGAAGAAUCGACAGAGAUUGGAUCAUGCGAAUGGGUGAAUGUUGAAGAUGGAUCGGAAACAUUCAAAUGUAAGAUGGUUACUUGCGACUGUAAAGAUGGUCUACAUUGUGUUGAUUUUAUCGAAAACGAGCUCCGGUGGUAUGAUUACGACGAAGACGAAAACACAUGCUAUCAAGCGGAAUUUCCCGAAAAAGAUCAGCCAUCAGUAGUUUAUCCAAAACAACACCAGUAAUCCGAUGAAAUUUCAAACCGAAUGCCCCAUUCGUUCAGUAUUUAAAUAUGUAGGUAUGUAGGUACCUCUAAAAGGCGAACAUUUGUGAAAUUAAUUCCACAACAUAUUCAAUUACACUAUUAAGGAUUCCAAUUAACUUUGCAUACCAUAGAAAUAACGGGUUGCAUCUAACAAAAAAAAAGUAUGUCAAACUUCAAAAAAUUAUAAUACAGUAUGUACCUUUUAACGAAA